This 244-nucleotide unclassified non-coding RNA is filed under the name fungal sp. RNAcentral's name for it is "partial internal transcribed spacer region". The stretch from base 1 to 46 matches the Rfam family "Eukaryotic small subunit ribosomal RNA", at positions 1786 to 1831 of the family's 1831-position model. The record is from RNAcentral. Lineage: Eukaryota; Fungi.
AAGUCGUAACAAGGUCUCCGUUGGUGAACCAGCGGAGGGAUCAUUACUGAGUAUCUUACUCUCUACCCUUUGUGAACUAUUAUACCUGUUGCUUCGGCAGCACUCUUAGUGGGUGACCGCUAGAGGGGUAAGGCUGUCAGAAGCCCACUAUCAAACUAGUUGAUGAAAUGUCUUGCGGUCUGAUACAUACUAUUUGAGAAAUCAAAUUACGUUAAAACUUUCAGCAACGGAUCUCUUGGUUCUC